Molecule: ribosomal RNA, 253 nt
Filed under: uncultured bacterium
Lineage: Bacteria
Description: partial 16S ribosomal RNA
Rfam family: Bacterial small subunit ribosomal RNA
Source: RNAcentral
UACAGAGGUCUCGAGCGUUGUUCGGAUUCAUUGGGCGUAAAGGGUGCGUAGGUGGCGCCGUAAGUCGGGUGUGAAAUUUCGGAGCUUAACUCCGAAACUGCAUUCGAUACUGCGGUGCUUGAGGACUGGAGAGGAGACUGGAAUUCAUGGUGUAGCAGUGAAAUGCGUAGAGAUCAUGAGGAAGACCAGUGGCGAAGGCGGGUCUCUGGACAGCAACUGACGCUGAGGCACGAAGGCCAGGGGAGCAAACGGG